ACGUAGGGUGCAAGCGUUAAUCGGAAUUACUGGGCGUAAAGCGUGCGCAGGCGGUUGUGCAAGACAGGUGUGAAAUCCCCGAGCUCAACUUGGGAACUGCACUUGUGACUGCACGGCUAGAGUACGGUAGAGGGGAGUGGAAUUCCGCGUGUAGCAGUGAAAUGCGUAGAUAUGCGGAGGAACACCGAUGGCGAAGGCAGCUCCCUGGACCUGUACUGACGCUCAUGCACGAAAGCGUGGGGAGCAAACAGGA
RNAcentral lists this ribosomal RNA (253 nucleotides) under uncultured prokaryote. RNAcentral's name for it is "partial 16S ribosomal RNA". It matches the Rfam family "Bacterial small subunit ribosomal RNA", at positions 525 to 777 of the family's 1533-position model. The record is from RNAcentral.